UUUAUUGAAUCUUUUUCAGUAGCUUUUAUAUUAAUAAUGUUGGUUUUCCAACUAUGACGAUAAACGAAUUUCGUAAUAACCAUUGCGGACGUGGGGGCAGUACCCACCACCUCCACCAUACAACUUAUGGGGGUGAACUAGAUUCGACGGGUGACUAAAGGCUAUUCUUUUGUUCGGGAUUGUUCCACCGUGACGGGCUAAUUUAUAAUUGCUAACGAAAGUUACGCACUUGCUGCCUAAUUAACUUUGUUAAUUAAGUAGACGGGGUCCGGGGCACCUGGCAACAGAACGCCCCUUAAU
Molecule: transfer-messenger RNA, 300 nt
Filed under: Candidatus Pelagibacter sp.
Lineage: Bacteria; Pseudomonadati; Pseudomonadota; Alphaproteobacteria; Candidatus Pelagibacterales; Candidatus Pelagibacteraceae
Rfam family: Alphaproteobacteria transfer-messenger RNA
About the family: Bacterial tmRNA, also known as 10Sa RNA or SsrA, is named for its dual tRNA and mRNA-like properties. Its role is to liberate the mRNA from a stalled ribosome.
Source: RNAcentral